This is a long non-coding RNA of Manduca sexta (tobacco hornworm), 459 nucleotides long. RefSeq lists it as uncharacterized. The record is from RefSeq and is a predicted model, not a curated record. NCBI's taxonomy places the organism in Eukaryota, Metazoa, Arthropoda, Insecta, Lepidoptera, Sphingidae. The transcript is spliced from 3 exons.
ACGUUUGGCUUCCGCUCCGCCCUUGAAGGGGAGAUAUUCUUAAAAAUAUCGACUAGGUACAUUGGUAGGGCCAAGCUUUUCUCCCUGAUUGUUAAAAUGCUUAUUUCCAAUGUUAUAUUAUAUUUGAAAAAUAAAUAUUAUGGGCAAUAAAAUACACGUUAUUUGAAAAACAUUUUCUUAUCAUGUUCGCUGUACCCUUUACAGUAUUUUUAUAUUUUCAAAUAAUAUGUUUCGACGUGAAAGGCAUAGUUGCACAACAAAUACGUGACAACAUAAGCGAUUACGACUGGAGUGUGUGGUGCAAAUUUCAGCCUAAUGGUUUCGAUUGUACCGACGGGGAGCCUUUGCAACCGAAAUUUUAUUACGACGUAAAAAUGGAGGAUUGUAAAACGUUUACAUUUGGUCUGUGCGGUAAGAGCAAAAAUCACUUCGAAACGAGAAAUGAAUGUCGCGACCGUU